CCUAACACAUGCAAGUCGAACGAGCGAGAGAGAGCUUGCUUCCUCAAGCGAGUGGCGAACGGGUGAGUAACGCGUGAGGAACCUGCCUCAAAGAGGGGGACAACAGUUGGAAACGACUGCUAAUACCGCAUAAGCCCACGACCCGGCAUCGGGUAGAGGGAAAAGGGGCAAUCCGCUUUGAGAUGGCCUCGCGUCCGAUUAGCUAGUUGGUGAGGUAACGGCCCACCAAGGCGACGAUCGGUAGCCGGACUGAGAGGUUGAACGGCCACAUUGGGACUGAGACACGGCCCAGACUCCUACGGGAGGCAGCAGUGGGGAAUAUUGCACAAUGGGGGAAACCCUGAUGCAGCGACGCCGCGUGGAGGAAGAAGGUCUUCGGAUUGUAAACUCCUGUUGUUGAGGAAGAUAAUGACGGUACUCAACAAGGAAGUGACGGCUAACUACGUGCCAGCAGCCGCGGUAAAACGUAGGUCACAAGCGUUGUCCGGAAUUACUGGGUGUAAAGGGAGCGCAGGCGGGAAGACAAGUUGGAAGUGAAAUCCAUGGGCUCAACCCAUGAACUGCUUUCAAAACUGUUUUUCUUGAGUAGUGCAGAGGUAGGCGGAAUUCCCGGUGUAGCGGUGGAAUGCGUAGAUAUCGGGAGGAACACCAGUGGCGAAGGCGGCCUACUGGGCACCAACUGACGCUGAGGCUCGAAAGUGUGGGUAGC
Molecule: ribosomal RNA, 709 nt
Filed under: uncultured Lachnospiraceae bacterium
Lineage: Bacteria; Bacillati; Bacillota; Clostridia; Lachnospirales; Lachnospiraceae
Description: bacterial SSU rRNA
Rfam family: Bacterial small subunit ribosomal RNA
Source: RNAcentral